UACAGAGGGGGCUAGCGUUGUUCGGAAUUACUGGGCGUAAAGCGUGCGCAGGCGGUUCGCUAAGUCCGAUGUGAAAUCCCCGGGCUUAACCUGGGAACUGCAUUGGUGACUGGCGGGCUAGAGUAUGGCAGAGGGGGGUAGAAUUCCACGUGUAGCAGUGAAAUGCGUAGAGAUGUGGAGGAAUACCGAUGGCGAAGGCAGCCCCCUGGGCCAAUACUGACGCUCAUGCACGAAAGCGUGGGGAGCAAACAGG
This 253-nucleotide ribosomal RNA is filed under the name uncultured bacterium. RNAcentral's name for it is "partial 16S ribosomal RNA". It matches the Rfam family "Bacterial small subunit ribosomal RNA", at positions 524 to 776 of the family's 1533-position model. The record is from RNAcentral.